GAUGAACGCUGGCGGCGUGCCUAAUACAUGCAAGUCGAGCGAACGGACGAGAAGCUUGCUUCUCUGAUGUUAGCGGCGGACGGGUGAGUAACACGUGGAUAACCUACCUAUAAGACUGGGAUAACUUCGGGAAACCGUAGCUAAUACCGGAUAAUAUUUUGAACCGCAUGGUUCAAAAGUGAAAGACGGUCUUGCUGUCACUUAUAGAUGGAUCCGCGCUGCAUUAGCUAGUUGGUAAGGUAACGGCUUACCAAGGCAACGAUGCAUAGCCGACCUGAGAGGGUGAUCGGCCACACUGGAACUGAGACACGGUCCAGACUCCUACGGGAGGCAGCAGUAGGGAAUCUUCCGCAAUGGGCGAAAGCCUGACGGAGCAACGCCGCGUGAGUGAUGAAGGUCUUCGGAUCGUAAAACUCUGUUAUUAGGGAAGAACAUAUGUGUAAGUAACUGUGCACAUCUCGACGGUACCUAAUCAGAAAGCCACGGCUAACUUCGUG
This 497-nucleotide ribosomal RNA is filed under the name uncultured bacterium. RNAcentral's name for it is "partial 16S ribosomal RNA". It matches the Rfam family "Bacterial small subunit ribosomal RNA", at positions 28 to 507 of the family's 1533-position model. The record is from RNAcentral.